This is a non-coding RNA of Elaeis guineensis (African oil palm), 739 nucleotides long. NCBI's taxonomy places the organism in Eukaryota, Viridiplantae, Streptophyta, Magnoliopsida, Arecales, Arecaceae. The record is from RefSeq and is a predicted model, not a curated record.
GAGAGAAGAAUCCAAAGCCCUCUUCCUGCAAAACCCAGGCUGCCCUUGGCUCUUCUCGUGGAACUGUAGUGCAGAUGAAGUCAUGUUUGCCGUCCAUUAUAAGAGAGGAGAAGCUGGCCGGCCCUCCUUCCACAUGCCUUGAUGGCCUUUUCCUUGUCUUCCCUGCCCUCCUUUUCCUUCCUUUCCUCCCUUUAUAUACUCAUCUCCUCCCCUUCCCUCCUCAUUUGCUGGAUGCGAGUCACAGUCUAUAAGUUGAUCCAUUCAAGUCUCUUUCCUUCUGUCUACUACCUGUAACUUCCCCACCUCUUUGAAUGGAUGAGAGAGCUAAGCGAUAGAAUAAAGAGCUACUUAACUUCGAAUCUCUGGGUUGGUCUUCGAUUCCAGUGACAUGGCUGGCGUACUUCUUAAAAGCAAGUGGAAUGUUGUAUAUGACGCUCGGUGGAACUUACGGGAUGGCUCUGCCUGGCUCCCUGAAUGCCAUCUAAGAUGGUUUGUCAAAAGGGUUGAUUCACUUCCUAGUUGGCAUUCGGGGAGUCAUGCAGACCUUUUAUCCAAUCAUGGCUACUAGUUUCAGAAUAUAUCUUGCGAGAGAAGAAAACCCUCGAGAUGAGCCCUAUCGCCUUGGCCUCUGAUGCCGAGACCUAUCACCUCUUGAGCGCUAGAUCGGUGGCAUUCUCAUACCCGACGAUCACUGAUAGCCGUUGGAGCAUCCCAAGGUCAGCGGUGAGGGCCAGAUCGA